This 3487-nucleotide long non-coding RNA is filed under the name Mytilus galloprovincialis (Mediterranean mussel). The record is from RNAcentral. Lineage: Eukaryota; Metazoa; Mollusca; Bivalvia; Mytilida; Mytilidae.
UGAUUUCAUUUUCUUUCAUUGAAAAUGAUUUCAAUUUGAGAGCAAGUUUUCCUCAAUAGCGCUCCAAGGGUUCUUUUUUCCAUGGAAAUAUUUUCUGGUGGUAAAUUUCAAAAUGGAACAUUUCCAAUUAUCUUUAUAAUGUAUAACAUUAAGAUAAUAAUUUGAUAAAAGGGACUGAUCAGCAAUUAAUGUUGUUAAGUGAGAAAACGGAGAAAUGAAGAAGACAAUUGGUUUUUAAUGUACAACAACAAAUCUAUUAUAUAACUUUUUAAAGAUGCUAAAAUUCUAUUUAUAGAAUUUCAUUAAAGAUCUCUGGCAUUGUGCAAUUAAAAAAACAAGAGAUAACUGUAUUAUAAUCUAGCUAUAUUUCUUCCCUCUAAAAGUCUGAAUUUCCAUUCUUUGUGCUAUAGUUUAUACCAAUUGAUUUCUCUUGUAGGGCUAUUUCUCUCCAUAACUUUAGACCUACUUACAUUAUUCCUAGGUUUUUUAGUUGGUUUUUUUUUCUGAACAAAUUACUAUCAGAAUCUCAAAAUAUUGUAAUUUUCAGUAGAACUUAGCAGCUAUCUGGGUAAUACCAUGUCCCUUGUUUUGAUUUUUGUUCCGUUUCAAUUGUUUUGUUUGUUUGUUUUCAUUGUUUUGUUUACUGCUGCUUAUCAAGUGUACACUAGAGUCUUCCUUCAUUGUACAAAGUUGUAUAUAUAGAGAAGUAUAGAUAUAGAUAUAUAUAUAUAAAACAUCUUAUUUAACAAGUCAUGUGCAAUAUUUUGUCUUAUUGAUGUGUACAUUAAAGAAGAAGUUAGAUUUGAAAUUGUAGAAGUCUAACUCUCAUAGUUCAAAGGUCAAAUCUGUGAAAGAUGUUAACAGGUUGAUUUUCUCUUAAAAAUAUAACAAUGAAGGUAUAAAUUAAUAAAUUUGUUAAGAAACAUAAUCCAAAUGAAAUAAAAUACAAAUAGAAAAAUACUGAUAGAAAAUUUUGUCUUUAUAUAACAUCUGAUUUUUUUUUUUCAAUCAUCUGAGGUUUAUCUAAGAAAACUUUACUUUGAUAGUUAAUUUGAUGUUUAAUGAUUAUAAAUGUACUUUUGCAAUAAUAUACAUUUAUUUGUUCCAUUCAAUUUCCAGCACUUUUUUUUAUAUUUCAAUAAUGUUUCAGUCAGUCCUUUACAUACAUUCAUGCUAUAGUUUUGGUUUUUACAUUUUCUUUACUUUUCUUACAAGGAAUGUAUCAUUAUUGUGAAGUUUUUAAAUUAAAAUAUAGCUGAAAAGCACAGGCUUUAUAAAGACCAACUUUGUGACAAUUUUUUUCCCAUUAAUUUUGAGACCUACUAUAAUAUCAAAGAUUAAACAUAACAAUUAAAGGAGAAGGAUUCCUAAAAACAGAAAUGUCAAUUAGCCGUUUCAGAAUCUAAAGAAUCAUGGGUAAUUUCAUUGUUUGUAUCCCAAAAUGAAAAUAACGCCACGUCAUUGGUUAAAUUUUCAUUGUUUAUGAAAUUUUAACCAAUCAGGACGUUUUGGUGUACACUUUUGAAAAUAUUACCCAGGAUGCAUUAGAUUCUGAAAGGGCGAAUUGGAAAUAUUAUAAAAGAGUCAUUAUGUGUAUUCAGGAUUUUUUAAUUUUCAAUAAACAGUCGUAGGUGUUCGCUUUAUAAAUUAUUGCCAUUGUGGUGUUGUUUUAUGACUUUAUCAAAUAACUACACACUUUCACAGGAUUUUUUAAUCACAUUAUUUAAGUCUAAAUUAAGAAACAAACACAAAACCACAGAGGUAUCUCUUCAGUUACAUGAGUUUGUAAUCUGAAAUUAAAAAUAGAAAAACAAUAUCAGAAUUUUGUAUUUGUAUUGUAGGUUAAAGCUUAAUACCAGCUUCUUUCCCCUAUCUCAUAUCACCCUAACCAUAUAAUUAAAAAGAUAGUUGUGUGCUUACCAACUAGGAUAAAAAAAAGUUAGAUUUGAGCUUAAUUUGUUUUUAAAGGACAUAGAAUUGGCUUAGAACAAGUUUUAUUGGGACUCCGACAUCAUCUCUAUCUUUUCUGAUUAUUUAAUAUUUGCAGGCUCUGUAUUUGAAUAUUUUGAUUGUUUACAAACACAUUUCUGUAAGAGAUUUGAAAAAGUCUAUACCAAGUUGAAAUCUCAUUUUGAAUUUAAAAAAAAAAAUACAAUUAAAUUUAUGUAGUGCAAACCAACACAAACUAGAUAUGAAUUUACUGAAAUUUCAUGUGGGCAGAAAAUUGCCAGUGUAAUUUAAAUUUUCUGAGAUAAUAAAAAUAUGUUAUAUUUUAGCCUGCACAUAUCUAUAUCAGAAGAACCUUGUCCAUGUGGUUUAAUAUCCCAUCAUUACAAAGUCAUAUCUUCUGAGAAAUCAUUUAUAUCGUUCAUAUCAUCUAAUCAUUAAUUUUGCAAAUCAUUCCCUGUGAAUUUUGUGAAAAUUUAUUGUGAUAUUAGUGUAGCAUUAAUAAUAACACAACUUGAUCUACCAUGGCAUAAACAUGGUAUAUCUUUUCUCUUCAUUUUGCAUUUUUGCUCACCUUUAUAUUAGUAACGUAUUAAUGCAUAUGUGUAUACAGUAUUUACACAAAAUGUUAGGUGUUCUUUGGUAUUUCUUCACAAUUUUCAAUAUUUACAAAAGUAAAUUGGUUUGCUUUUGAAAUUCUGGAACCCAGAUCUCUGUGAAUGCAAAGAUUGCUACUCUGCAAUACAAAAACAGAAGAAAUAAAAUAUUCUUGUCAUGUCAAGCAUUAUUUGAUAAUUUACAGUAAUUUUCAAAAUUCUAAAUAAACCUAAAAUUGUGAUGAAGAACAAUAAAUCAGUACUGCCACAAUUAAAAAAAUUCUUGUACACUAUUUUCUUCAUACUUCAAGAAUUCUAUAUGAUAUUGAUAAAAGCAUUUUAAAAUGACAUAUGCAUUGUUCAUAAUCAGACUUGCAUGUAUUUGUAAUAUUUUAAUAUAUUUUACAAUGAAUAAGCAUAUUAAAGAAAUAUUACAUAUAGAGUUUUAUAUAUAGAAUAUUAUUUUUUGCGGUUUUUAAACUUCACAGAAACCAAGAAUCUAAAAACUUGUCAAAUUCACAUUAAGUUUAAAACAAGUAUUGUCUAUAAUUGCUUUUACAACACAAAUGUUAAUAUCUGAGAUGCAGGUUUAGAACAGCUGCCUAUAGCUAGCUUACACUUUGUUUGACAAAUUUUCAUAUUCUGUUUUGUUUAUGUAUGAAAACAUCAUUCUACUUCUUGCAGGAAGCCUACAAAUGGUUAAAAUGGAGAACCAUUUCAUUCUGAGGCUUUCAAUAUGUCUGUAGUUAUUGAUCAUUAUUAUUAAAUAAGUAAUUAGUUGCUAUAUGUGGCCAUAACAUUAAAGUUAUAUAUGAAUGUUAUUGUACAUUAAAUUUGUACAUUUUGUAUAGACUUGUGCUGUAAUAAUAAAUGCUGCUUACAAGGAAAUUAUUUCAAUUAUUGACAAGUCACCAUCUUUUAUCAAUUAAAACAUUUUAUGUCCC